UACAGAGGGGGCGAGCGUUGUUCGGAAUUACUGGGCGUAAAGGGCGCGUAGGCGGCUUCUUAAGUCGAACGUGAAAUCCCCGGGCUCAACCCGGGAACUGCGUCCGAUACUGGGAGGCUUGAAUCCGGGAGAGGAGAGUGGAAUUCCUGGUGUAGCGGUGAAAUGCGCAGAUAUCAGGAAGAACACCCGUGGCGAAAGCGGCUCUCUGGAACGGUACUGACGCUGAGACGCGAAAGCGUGGGGAGCGAACAGG
This 253-nucleotide ribosomal RNA is filed under the name uncultured bacterium. RNAcentral's name for it is "partial 16S ribosomal RNA". It matches the Rfam family "Bacterial small subunit ribosomal RNA", at positions 524 to 776 of the family's 1533-position model. The record is from RNAcentral.